This 665-nucleotide ribosomal RNA is filed under the name Oribatula sp. XFX. RNAcentral describes it as "12S ribosomal RNA". Lineage: Eukaryota; Metazoa; Arthropoda; Arachnida; Sarcoptiformes; Oribatulidae. The record is from RNAcentral.
CUUAUUUUGUUCUUGGUUACUUUUAUAUCUUUAUAAGAAAGUUUGAAAGCUUUUAAUGGUUGGGUUUGUUUGAGUUUUUUCUUCAGUUUGUUUUGAUUAAAAGUUGUGCCAGCAUUCGCGGUCAUACAACGUUAUAUUUAAGUCUUAAAAUUUUGUCUAUAAAAUUUUUUCUUCUGUUUCUUUUUUAUUUGGUGAAAUGAUUUUGGAGAAGUCUUGAGCAGUCUAUUUUAAUAGUUGAGUAGAUGUCACAGAUUGUUGAACCAUGGAUUAGAUACCCUGUUACAACUGGGUUAUUCUUAGGUAUUAUUUUAAUAUAUUUUAAACCUUAGAGAACUUGGCGGUUUCUAACAUUUCUAGAGGAACUUGUGAAUUAAUGGAUAACCCGCUGUUCUUUUACCCCCUUUUAUUUUUGUAUAUCGCUGUUGUAUCUCAUAUGUUGGGUGUCGCAUUAUAAUAACGGUGAAUUCUGGUCAUGGUGCAAAAAAUAAUGGGGUUUUCAUGAGUUACUUUAUUUUUAUUUUACUUUUUGUUUUUUUGAAAUUGGAUUUAGCAGUAAAGAAUUUAAUGAAACUGAUUUUUGUUAUAUCAAUUAGAAAAGUACAUAUCGCCCGUCAUUCUUUUGAUAGACAAGUCGUAACAAAGUAGGAGCUCCGGAAGGAGCUUCU